Molecule: ribosomal RNA, 497 nt
Filed under: uncultured bacterium
Lineage: Bacteria
Description: partial 16S ribosomal RNA
Rfam family: Bacterial small subunit ribosomal RNA
Source: RNAcentral
GAUGAACGCUGGCGGCGUGCCUAAUACAUGGAAGUCGAGCGAACAGACGAGGAGCUUGCUCCUCUGACGUUAGCGGCGGACGGGUGAGUAACACGUGGAUAACCUACCUAUAAGACUGGGAUAACUUCGGGAAACCGGAGCUAAUACCGGAUAAUAUAUUGAACCGCAUGGUUCAAUAGUGAAAGACGGUUUUGCUGUCACUUAUAGAUGGAUCCGCGCCGCAUUAGCUAGUUGGUAAGGUAACGGCUUACCAAGGCAACGAUGCGUAGCCGACCUGAGAGGGUGAUCGGCCACACUGGAACUGAGACACGGCCCAGACUCCUACGGGAGGCAGCAGUAGGGAAUCUUCCGCAAUGGGCGAAAGCCUGACGGAGCAACGCCGCGUGAGUGAUGAAGGUCUUCGGAUCGUAAAACUCUGUUAUUAGGGAAGAACAAAUGUGUAAGUAACUAUGCACGUCUUGACGGUACCUAAUCAGAAAGCCACGGCUAACUACGUG